AACGAACGCUGGCGGCAGGCUUAACACAUGCAAGUCGAGCGCCUCGCAAGGGGAGCGGCAGACGGGUGAGUAACGCGUGGGAAACUACCCUUUGGUACGGAAUAACACAGAGAAAUUUGUGCUAAUACCGUAUGAGCCCUUCGGGGGAAAGAUUUAUCGCCAUAGGAUGUGCCCGCGUAGGAUUAGCUAGUUGGUGUGGUAAUGGCGCACCAAGGCGACGAUCCUUAGCUGGUCUGAGAGGAUGAUCAGCCACACUGGGACUGAGACACGGCCCAGACUCCUACGGGAGGCAGCAGUGGGGAAUAUUGGACAAUGGGCGCAAGCCUGAUCCAGCCAUGCCGCGUGAGUGAUGAAGGCCUUAGGGUUGUAAAGCUCUUUCACCCACGACGAUAAUGACGGUAGUGGGAGAAGAAGCCCCGGCUAACUUCGUG
RNAcentral lists this ribosomal RNA (431 nucleotides) under uncultured bacterium. RNAcentral describes it as "bacterial SSU rRNA". It matches the Rfam family "Bacterial small subunit ribosomal RNA", at positions 29 to 507 of the family's 1533-position model. RNAcentral also lists the same sequence under 1 other name. The record is from RNAcentral.